RNAcentral lists this transfer RNA (75 nucleotides) under Candidatus Peribacteraceae bacterium. Its description in RNAcentral is "tRNA-Lys". It matches the Rfam family "tRNA". From Rfam's summary of the family: Transfer RNA (tRNA) molecules are approximately 80 nucleotides in length. Their secondary structure includes four short double-helical elements and three loops (D, anti-codon, and T loops). Further hydrogen bonds mediate the characteristic L-shaped molecular structure. tRNAs have two regions of fundamental functional importance: the anti-codon, which is responsible for specific mRNA codon recognition, and the 3' end, to which the tRNAs corresponding amino acid is attached (by aminoacyl-tRNA synthetases). tRNAs cope with the degeneracy of the genetic code in two manners: having more than one tRNA (with a specific anti-codon) for a particular amino acid; and 'wobble' base-pairing, i.e. permitting non-standard base-pairing at the 3rd anti-codon position. The record is from RNAcentral. Lineage: Bacteria; Candidatus Peregrinibacteriota; Candidatus Peribacteria; Candidatus Peribacterales.
GGGUCGGUAGCUCAGUGGUAGAGCAGGAGACUCUUAAUCUCUUGGCCGUGGGUUCGAGUCCCACCCGACCCACCA